This 454-nucleotide ribosomal RNA is filed under the name uncultured bacterium. Its description in RNAcentral is "bacterial SSU rRNA". It matches the Rfam family "Bacterial small subunit ribosomal RNA", at positions 340 to 786 of the family's 1533-position model. The record is from RNAcentral.
UACGGAAGGCAGCAGUGGGGAAUAUUGCACAAUGGGCGCAAGCCUGAUGCAGCCAUGCCGCGUGUAUGAAAAAGGCCUUCGGGUUGUAAAGUACUUUCAGUCGUGAGGAAGGUGUUAAGGUUAAUAACCUUAGCAAUUGACGUUAGCGACAGAAGAAGCACCGGCUAACUCCGUGCCAGCAGCCGCGGUAAUACGGAGGGUGCGAGCGUUAAUCGGAAUUACUGGGCGUAAAGGGCACGCAGGCGGUUAAUUAAGUUGGAUGUGAAAUCCCCGGGCUUAACCUGGGAAUGGCAUUCAAGCUGGUUAGCUAGAGUCUUGUAGAGGGGGUAGAAUUCCAUGUGUAGCGGUGAAAUGCGUAGAGAUGUGGAGGAAUACCGGUGGCGAAGGCGGGCCCCUGGACAAAGACUGACGCUCAUGUGCGAAAGCGUGGGGAGCAAACGAGGGAUUAGAUACC